RNAcentral lists this transfer-messenger RNA (350 nucleotides) under Alphaproteobacteria bacterium. It matches the Rfam family "Alphaproteobacteria transfer-messenger RNA". From Rfam's summary of the family: Bacterial tmRNA, also known as 10Sa RNA or SsrA, is named for its dual tRNA and mRNA-like properties. Its role is to liberate the mRNA from a stalled ribosome. Lineage: Bacteria; Pseudomonadati; Pseudomonadota; Alphaproteobacteria. The record is from RNAcentral.
GGCCUUCAUUUUUUAACGCCCGCGCCCUAUAUAGAAGGAGCCGGCUUGCCGGCUAUGGCGAUAAACGCGGCGUGCAAUAGGCAUUCGGACCCGGGGGCGGUACCCGGCGGCUCCACCAACUGGCCGUGGCCCAUGCGGGCGGCGGCCAUCUGAUGGGGCCGAAACAGGAUCGACGUGUGCUGAAAGACGUUUGCUUUCGCCCGGCAUGACACCGCCGUUAAUGGGUCGUUUUGACAAAUGCCAACGAUAAUGAGGCAUUCGCUCUCGCGGCUUAAUCGACGCCCAAUGGCUUAGAUUAAGGAAGCUAUGAGCGCGGCUCGGAGGGCGCCGGGCAACAGAAGCCCUCCACU